GCCUAAUACAUGCAAGUCGAGCGAAUCGAYGGGAGCUUGCUCCCUGAGAUUAGCGGCGGACGGGUGAGUAACACGUGGGCAACCUGCCUAUAAGACUGGGAUAACUUCGGGAAACCGGAGCUAAUACCGGAUACGUUCUUUUCUCGCAUGAGAGAAGAUGGAAAGACGGUUUUACGCUGUCACUUAUAGAUGGGCCCGCGGCGCAUUAGCUAGUUGGUGAGGUAAUGGCUCACCAAGGCGACGAUGCGUAGCCGACCUGAGAGGGUGAUCGGCCACACUGGGACUGAGACACGGCCCAGAACUCCUACGGGAGGCAGCAGUAGGGAAUCUUCCGCAAUGGACGAAAGUCUGACGGAGCAACGCCGCGUGAACGAAGAAGGCCUUCGGGUCGUAAAGUUCUGUUGUUAGGGAAGAACAAGUACCAGAGUAACUGCUGGUACCUUGACGGUACCUAACCAGAAAGCCACGGCUAACUACGUGCCAGCAGCCGCGGUAAUACGUAGGUGGCAAGCGUUGUCCGGAAUUAUUGGGCGUAAAGCGCGCGCAGGUGGUUCCUUAAGUCUGAUGUGAAAGCCCACGGCUCAACCGUGGAGGGUCAUUGGAAACUGGGGAACUUGAGUGCAGAAGAGGAAAGUGGAAUUCCAAGUGUAGCGGUGAAAUGCGUAGAGAUUUGGAGGAACACCAGUGGCGAAGGCGACUUUCUGGUCUGUAACUGACACUGAGGCGCGAAAGCGUG
This 736-nucleotide ribosomal RNA is filed under the name Peribacillus frigoritolerans. RNAcentral's name for it is "bacterial SSU rRNA". It matches the Rfam family "Bacterial small subunit ribosomal RNA", at positions 46 to 763 of the family's 1533-position model. The record is from RNAcentral. Lineage: Bacteria; Bacillati; Bacillota; Bacilli; Caryophanales; Bacillaceae.